Molecule: transfer RNA, 75 nt
Filed under: Caerostris extrusa
Lineage: Eukaryota; Metazoa; Arthropoda; Arachnida; Araneae; Araneidae
Description: tRNA-Thr
Rfam family: tRNA
About the family: Transfer RNA (tRNA) molecules are approximately 80 nucleotides in length. Their secondary structure includes four short double-helical elements and three loops (D, anti-codon, and T loops).
Source: RNAcentral
GCCACCAUAGUUCAGUGGUUAGAGCACUGGUCUUGUAAAAACCAGGGGUCGUGAGUUCAAACCUCACUGGUGGUU